Molecule: ribosomal RNA, 427 nt
Filed under: uncultured bacterium
Lineage: Bacteria
Description: partial 16S ribosomal RNA
Rfam family: Bacterial small subunit ribosomal RNA
Source: RNAcentral
UGGGGAAUAUUGCACAAUGGGCGCAAGCCUGAUGCAGCCAUGCCGCGUGUAUGAAGAAGGCCUUCGGGUUGUAAAGUACUUUCAGCGAGGAGGAAGGCGUUGUGGUUAAUAACCGCAGCGAUUGACGUUACUCGCAGAAGAAGCACCGGCUAACUCCGUGCCAGCAGCCGCGGUAAUACGGAGGGUGCAAGCGUUAAUCGGACUUACUGGGCGUAAAGCGCACGCAGGCGGUCUGUCAAGUCGGAUGUGAAAUCCCCGGGCUCAACCUGGGAACUGCAUCCGAAACUGGCAGGCUAGAGUCUUGUAGAGGGGGGUAGAAUUCCAGGUGUAGCGGUGAAAUGCGUAGAGAUCUGGAGGAAUACCGGUGGCGAAGGCGGCCCCCUGGACAAAGACUGACGCUCAGGUGCGAAAGCGUGGGGAGCAAACA